UUACGUCAAAUUUUUAUGGAGUUGGACAGCAUUCCUACGUUUGCCGCCAGGGGCGCUGUUCCAACUCCAUACUAAUUUAGUUA
RNAcentral lists this microRNA precursor (83 nucleotides) under Bombyx mori (domestic silkworm). RNAcentral's name for it is "mir-2807 microRNA precursor family". It matches the Rfam family "mir-2807 microRNA precursor family". The record is from Rfam by way of RNAcentral. Lineage: Eukaryota; Metazoa; Arthropoda; Insecta; Lepidoptera; Bombycidae.